AAUAGUGAGGGCUAAAUGAGUGAAUUUGCAAAAUUCUUUUCUUACAGAGAUAUAAUCCUGUUU
RNAcentral lists this transfer RNA (63 nucleotides) under Ciona savignyi (Pacific transparent sea squirt). RNAcentral describes it as "tRNA (ENSCSAVG00000012516.1)". Lineage: Eukaryota; Metazoa; Chordata; Ascidiacea; Phlebobranchia; Cionidae. The record is from RNAcentral.